RNAcentral lists this ribosomal RNA (250 nucleotides) under uncultured bacterium. Its description in RNAcentral is "partial 16S ribosomal RNA". It matches the Rfam family "Bacterial small subunit ribosomal RNA", at positions 524 to 773 of the family's 1533-position model. The record is from RNAcentral. RNAcentral also lists the same sequence under 1 other name.
UACGGAGGGAGCUAGCGUUGUUCGGAAUUACUGGGCGUAAAGCGCGCGUAGGCGGUUUUUUAAGUCAGAGGUGAAAGCCCAGUGCUCAACACUGGAACUGCCUUUGAAACUGGAAAACUUGAAUCUUGGAGAGGUCAGUGGAAUUCCGAGUGUAGAGGUGAAAUUCGUAGAUAUUCGGAAGAACACCAGUGGCGAAGGCGACUGACUGGACAAGUAUUGACGCUGAGGUGCGAAAGCGUGGGGAGCAAAC